GGCCGGCAUGGUCCCAGCCUCCUCGCUGGCGCCGGCUGGGCAACAUUCGUGGCGAAUGGGACC
This 63-nucleotide unclassified non-coding RNA is filed under the name synthetic construct. It matches the Rfam family "Hepatitis delta virus ribozyme". Rfam says of the family: The ribozyme acts to process the RNA transcripts to unit lengths in a self cleavage reaction. The ribozyme is found to be active in vivo in the absence of any protein factors and is the fastest known naturally occurring self-cleaving RNA. The record is from RNAcentral.